GGGUUUCUCUAGCCGACGGAAAAAAAGCACAUCAAUUGUUGAGAUUUAUUCCUCGGAUGCGCUAACAUGAUACAUAUUCAUUGUAGUACUUGAUUCUGUUCUUAUCAUGUGUUGGUUGGAUCUCAUUUUUUUUAAUUGUUGAGAUUUACUAAUAUGUUAUUGCUUGUUUAGGUCUCCGAUAAUUUACUUCAUGAUGCGAGUAGCAAUCAAGAAACUUUAAUCUUUUGUUCUCAAACCCUCAGAAGCAAGGUACAACGAGAUUUUGAAGAGCUGCCUUCUGAAGCUUUUCGCCCGUUACGGGAUUUAUUAAAUAGCUUAUUGAAAACAUUUCACAAAGGCCCCCCCUAAAGUUAGAACCCAGAUUAGCCUUGCUGUGGCUGCAUUGGCUGUUCAUGUUCCUGCUAAAGAUUGGGGUGAUGGUGGCAUUGUAAAUUGGCUUAGAGAUGAGAUGAAUUCUCACCCCGAAUGCAUACCAAGCUUCCUCGAGCUACUAAGAGUUUUGCCUGAGGAUCCCUGCUUCUACACUUGCUUCUCACCCAUUGGUGCUAACAGCUCUCUCUAGCUUGAAUUCUGAUAUCCUUUCAGAGGCAUCCGUGAAUGUUAUAUAAUCAUCAUUUUGGUGAAGAUGAUUGAUGACUUGAUGAAGCUGAAGAGAGCUGUGGAUGAAGUUAUUUUCAGAGAAUUUGGAGAGCACACUGAAUAUUAUUAUUUUUAUGAUUUUGUAUUGUCAUAUUGUAUUUAAAGGGGUUUUAUAAGUUUUUUAAGUUUUUUCAUUUUUUAAUAUAUGUAAGCACAGAUAAUUUUUUUUAUUUAAUUCCUUUGUAUAUAGUUUUGAAUAUUUAAUUUCCAUUUAUGAAAUAUAUGACGUUAUUCUA
Non-coding RNA from Camellia sinensis, 875 nucleotides. NCBI's taxonomy places the organism in Eukaryota, Viridiplantae, Streptophyta, Magnoliopsida, Ericales, Theaceae. The record is from RefSeq and is a predicted model, not a curated record.